RNAcentral lists this ribosomal RNA (481 nucleotides) under uncultured soil bacterium. RNAcentral describes it as "bacterial SSU rRNA". It matches the Rfam family "Bacterial small subunit ribosomal RNA", at positions 26 to 518 of the family's 1533-position model. The record is from RNAcentral.
AGGACGAACGCUGGCGGCGUGCUUAACACAUGCAAGUCGAACGGGGUCCAAGAAGAGCUUGCUCUUUGGAAGACCUAGUGGCGAACGGGUGAGUAACACGUGUAGAACCUGUCCCGAAGAUGGGGAUAACAGCGGGAAACCGCUGCUAAUACCCAAUACCUUUACGAGAUCGCAUGGUCAUGUAAAGAAAUGUUUUUCGCUUUGGGAGGGCUUCGCGGCCUAUCAGCUUGUUGGUGAGGUAACGGCUCACCAAGGCUUCGACGGGUAGCUGGUCUGAGAGGACGACCAGCCACACUGGGACUGAGACACGGCCCAGACUCCUACGGGAGGCAGCAGUGGGAAUAUUGCGCAAUGGGCGAAAGCCUGACGCAGCAACGCCGCGUGUGGGAUGAAGGCUCGUCGGGUUGUAAACCACUUUCAGUCAGGAACGAAAAUGACGGUACCUGCAGAGAACGCCCGGCCAACACGUGCCAGCAGCCGC